AGCAGCCGCGGUAAUUCCAGCUCCAAUAGCGUAUAUUAAAGUUGUUGCAGUUAAAAAGCUCGUAGUUGAACUUCGGGAUCAAUGGAUCGGUCAUGCCCAUUAGGUAUGUACUGAUCUCAUUGGUUCUCACCUUCUAAGGAACCAUAAUGUCAUUCAUUUGAUGUUAUGGGAAAUUAGGACUGUUACCUUGAAAAAAUUAGAGUGUUUAAAGCAGGCUCACGCCUGAAUACAUUAGCAUGGAAUAAUGAAGUAGGACAUCGUUAUGCCUAUUUUGUUGGUUUCUAGGAUCGAUGUAAUGAUUAAUAGGGAUAGUUGGGGGCAUUAGUAUUCAAUUGUACAGAGGUGAAAUUCUUAGGAUUUAUUGAAAGUACUAACUACUGCGUAAAGCAAGUUUUGACCAAGGGAUGUUUUCAUUAAUCAAGAACGAAAGUUAGGGAUCGAAGACGAUCAGAUACCGUCGUAGUCUUAACCAUAAACUAUGACCGACUAGGGAUUCGGAUGAUAGUUAAGUUUUU
Molecule: ribosomal RNA, 515 nt
Filed under: uncultured fungus
Lineage: Eukaryota; Fungi
Description: bacterial SSU rRNA
Rfam family: Eukaryotic small subunit ribosomal RNA
Source: RNAcentral